RNAcentral lists this ribosomal RNA (513 nucleotides) under uncultured bacterium. RNAcentral's name for it is "partial 16S ribosomal RNA". It matches the Rfam family "Bacterial small subunit ribosomal RNA", at positions 28 to 523 of the family's 1533-position model. The record is from RNAcentral.
GACGAACGCUGGCGGCAUGCCUAAUACAUGCAAGUCGAGCGAACAGAUGAAGUGCUUGCACUUCUGACGUUAGCGGCGAACGGGUGAGUAACACGUAAGGAAUCUACCUAUAAGCGGGGGAUAACAUUCGGAAACGGGUGCUAAUACCGCGUAAUAUCUUCUUCCGCAUGGAAGAAGAUUGAAAGACGGCUCUGCUGUCACUUAUAGAUGACCUUGCGGUGCAUUAGUUAGUUGGUGGGGUAACGGCCUACCAAGACGAUGAUGCAUAGCCGACCUGAGAGGGGGAUCGGCCACAUUGGGACUGAGACACGGCCCAAACUCCUACGGGAGGCAGCAGUAGGGAAUCUUCCGCAAUGGGCGAAAGCCUGACGGAGCAAUGCCGCGUGAGUGAAGAAGGCCUUCGGGUCGUAAAACUCUGUUAUAAGAGAAGAACAAAUUGUAGAGUAACUGCUACAGUCUUGACGGUAUCUUAUCAGAAAGCCACGGCUAACUACGUGCCAGCCGCCGCCGUAA